This 254-nucleotide ribosomal RNA is filed under the name uncultured bacterium. RNAcentral describes it as "partial 16S ribosomal RNA". It matches the Rfam family "Bacterial small subunit ribosomal RNA", at positions 524 to 776 of the family's 1533-position model. The record is from RNAcentral.
UACGAAGGGGGCUAGCGUUGUUCGGAUUUACUGGGCGUAAAGCGCACGUAGGCGGAUCUUUAAGUCAGAGGUGAAAUCCCAAGGCUCAACCUUGGAACUGCCUUUGAUACUGGGGAUCUCGAGUCCGGGAGAGGUGAGUGGAAUUCCGGAGUGUAGAGGUGAAAUUCGUAGAUAUUCGGAGGAACACCAGAAGCGAAGGCGGCUCACUGGCCCGAUACUGACGCUGAGACGCGAAAGCUGGGGGAGCAAACGGG